RNAcentral lists this non-coding RNA (145 nucleotides) under Otolemur garnettii (small-eared galago). The record is from Rfam by way of RNAcentral. Lineage: Eukaryota; Metazoa; Chordata; Mammalia; Primates; Galagidae.
GCUGGGUGUCGUGAUGGGCACCUGUAGUCCCAGCUACUUGGGAAGCUGAGGCAAGAGGAUCACUUGAGUCCAAGAGUUUGAGGUUGCUGUGAGCUUUGAUGUCCCAGCACUCUAGCCUGGGCAACAGGGUGAGACUCUGUCUCAA